AUUGAACGCUGGCGGCAUGCUUUACACAUGCAAGUCGAACGGUAACAGGCCUUCGGGUGCUGACGAGUGGCGAACGGGUGAGUAAUGCAUCGGAACGUGCCCAAUCGUGGGGGAUAACGUAGCGAAAGUUACGCUAAUACCGCAUAAGCCCUGAGGGGGAAAGCAGGGGAUCGCAAGACCUUGCGCGAAUGGAGCGGCCGAUGUCAGAUUAGCUAGUUGGUGGGGUAAAGGCCUACCAAGGCGACGAUCUGUAGCGGGUCUGAGAGGAUGAUCCGCCACACUGGGACUGAGACACGGCCCAGACUCCUACGGGAGGCAGCAGUGGGGAAUUUUGGACAAUGGGCGCAAGCCUGAUCCAGCCAUGCCGCGUGCGGGACGAAGGCCUUCGGUUGU
This 393-nucleotide ribosomal RNA is filed under the name uncultured bacterium. RNAcentral's name for it is "bacterial SSU rRNA". It matches the Rfam family "Bacterial small subunit ribosomal RNA", at positions 30 to 426 of the family's 1533-position model. The record is from RNAcentral.